GUGUCAGCCGCCGCGGUAAUACGAAGGGGGCUAGCGUUGCUCGGAAUUACUGGGCGUAAAGGGCGCGUAGGCGGAUAUUUAAGUUGGGGGUGAAAUCCCGGGGCUCAACCUCGGAAUUGCCUUCAAAACUGGAUAUCUUGAGUUCGGGAGAGGUGAGUGGAACUCCGAGUGUAGAGGUGAAAUUCGUAGAUAUUCGGAAGAACACCAGUGGCGAAGGCGACUCACUGGCCCGAUACUGACGCUGAGGCGCGAAAGCGUGGGGAGCAAACAGGAUUAGAUACCCCAGUAGUCC
Molecule: ribosomal RNA, 292 nt
Filed under: uncultured bacterium
Lineage: Bacteria
Description: partial 16S ribosomal RNA
Rfam family: Bacterial small subunit ribosomal RNA
Source: RNAcentral